UCACCAAGUCCAACCCCUGGCUACAGCAGCUCCCCACAGCAAGUUGCAGGAAAGCAUUCAGGUGUGUCUUGGAAAUCUCCAGAGGAGAAGGAGGCACCACAACCUCUGUGUGCAGCCCAUUCCAGGGCUCUGUCACCCUCAGAAGAACAACAUCGAGCUGGAAUCACAUCAGCACAGCAAAACUUGAGACAUCUUUUUCAGUUUGAAAAGAAUCACAGAACUGUAGAAGUUGGAUGGGACCUCUAGAGAUCAUGAAGUACAACUCCCUGCUAGAGCAGGUUUCCCUACAGUAUGUUGCACAGGAAAGCAACAAGGUGUGCAUUAAACACCUCCAAAGAAGGAAACUCCAUAACCUCUCCAGGAAGCCUGUUCCCUCGCCUCCCUCACAGUAAAGAAGAUCUUCCUUGUGUUUUUAUGGAAAUUCCUGUCUUCCAGUUUUUGCCCAUUGCCCCUUGUUCUGUUAUUGCACACCACUGAAAAGAGUCCACCCCCAUCAACAUGAUUCAACAUGAAAAGAGCAUGCACUUUUGAUACUAAUAAACAGUUACAGAAUCGCC
Molecule: long non-coding RNA, 557 nt
Organism: Centrocercus urophasianus (Greater sage-grouse)
Lineage: Eukaryota; Metazoa; Chordata; Aves; Galliformes; Phasianidae
Exons: 3
Source: RefSeq, a predicted model, not a curated record